CGACCUCAGAUUAGGUGGGAUUCCCCGCUGAAUUUAAGCAUAUUAGUAAGCGGUGGAAAGAAACCAACAGGGAUUCCCUUAGAAGCUGCGAGUGAACAUGGGAUUAGCCCAGCACUGAAUCC
RNAcentral lists this non-coding RNA (122 nucleotides) under Rhodnius prolixus. RNAcentral's name for it is "Eukaryotic large subunit ribosomal RNA". It matches the Rfam family "Eukaryotic large subunit ribosomal RNA", at positions 1 to 122 of the family's 3401-position model. The record is from Rfam by way of RNAcentral. Lineage: Eukaryota; Metazoa; Arthropoda; Insecta; Hemiptera; Reduviidae.